RNAcentral lists this ribosomal RNA (459 nucleotides) under uncultured bacterium. RNAcentral's name for it is "partial 16S ribosomal RNA". It matches the Rfam family "Bacterial small subunit ribosomal RNA", at positions 338 to 795 of the family's 1533-position model. The record is from RNAcentral.
CCUACGGGAGGCAGCAGUGAGGAAUAUUGGUCAAUGGCCGGAAGGCUGAACCAGCCAAGCCGCGUGAAGGACGAAGGUACAAAGCAUUGUAAACUUCUUUUGUCAGGGGACAAAAUCAGGCACGAGAGCCUGACCGAGGGUACUUGAAGAAAAAGCAUCGGCUAACUCCGUGCCAGCAGCCGCGGUAAUACGGAGGAUGCGAGCGUUAUCCGGAUUUAUUGGGUUUAAAGGGUGCGUAGGCGGCCUGUUAAGUCAGCGGUAAAAGCCCGGGGCUCAACCCCGGCGAGCCGUUGAAACUGGCGGGCUGGAGUUGGCGAGAGGUACGCGGAAUGCGCGGUGUAGCGGUGAAAUGCUUAGAUAUUGCGCAGAACCCCGAUUGCGAAGGCAGCGUACCGGCUGCAAUCUGACGCUGAGGCACGAAAGCGUGGGUAUCGAACAGGAUUAGAUACCCGAGUAGUC